AAAUAUAUUUUUAUAUCUGCCCAUAUGCAUAUGCAUGCAUGCAUACCCAGACAUGUGUAUACACACAUUUACAUACCUGGAAGGAUGUUCCCGAUGUGUUAAAUGGAAAGAGCUAGUUGAAGGGUAGAAUAAAUGAUAUGAUAACGUUUUUGUUUCUAGAGAAGGGAAAGAUACUCUAUAUGAACAUAUAUUUAUAUUGUUGUUGGAAAAAUUUAAAAGUUGUGGGAAAAUCCCCACAAACUGCCAUCAUUGGCUCACUUGGGAAAGUAGAGGUGGAAAGGCAGUGAGCUAUGAUUAGUUUAUAUACCUUGGUGUUAUUUCAGUUUUACAACAAACAUAUAUUACUUUUUGUAAUAUAGGAAACUAUAGGUUUGUAACUAGGAAAAUAUAUAUAAAUUUCAAGAGGACAGAUUUCAGAUUAAUAUGAAUAAUUUUCUAAUAGGCAGGAUUAUUUGGAUUUAGCGAGGGCUCUUCAAGGGGUCACUAGUCUUUCUUAAUUGUGAGCGGUCAAGCAUAAGUUAGAUGAGGACAGUGUUAGGAAGGAGAUUCUGGUAUAAGAUGCAAAGUUGGACAAUGUAGCCUCAUUGGUCUUUUUAAAUUAUGACAUGCCAGGCUUCUACAAAGUCCACAUUUCAAGGCGUUUCUGCGUUUGGCCAAAUGAGAUGCUAGACUCUCAUUUCAAUGCAUUUUUGCGUCUUUAUUUACUUCAAAUUAGUAAGAAAUGUUGAAACCUAGAGUCAUCCUAAACUAUUUCUUUAGCUCUGAUCCCCCCUCAAGCAGCAAACAAAAUUACAACACAAUGUUGUAAGUGCUAUUCUGAAGAUGUGCUUUGCAAGGUGACUCUAAGCCAGCCUAGAAGUGGAGGGAUCAAGGAAGGGUUGCUGGAAGAGGUGACACCUGAGCUGAGUCUUAAAGGAUGUUUUCUCAAGGCUCACCUCCUCUGCAGAGUGCAGACCUCCACGUCGCUGCACUUUGCACACGUCUCCAUGAUCGCUUGCAUUGCACUAAUUGUCUUUGAUAUGUAUCUUCCUUCCUAGUUUCUAAAUUGCUAGGGAGAAACUAUGAGUUUUAUUUAUCAUUACACCUCAGCCAUGACUGCAUGACUAGCAGAACAUUCAAUAAAUAUUUAUAGAAUCGAUUGGUUUUCAUUUUAGUUCAUAACUCACAGACGUAGUGAAGGACAUCCAUUCUUAUGAAUUCUCAUGAUGAACAUUAAUUCACAGCACAGUUCUGCAUCUGCUUUUGAGUUUGUUGUUGUUGUUGUUGUUGUUGUUGUUUUGAGACAGAGUCUCACUGUCACCCAGGUUUGAGUGCCAUGGCACGAUCUUGGCUCACUGUAACCUCCACCUCCCGGGUUCAAGCGAUUCUCCUGCCUCAGACCCAAGUAGCUGAGAUUGCAGACGUGCGCCACCAAGCUCGGUUAAGUUUUGUAUUUUUAGUAGAGACAGGGUCUCACUAUGUUGGCCAGGCUGGUCUCAAACUCCUGACCUCAGGUGAUCGGCCCGCCUCGGCCUCCCAAAGUGCUGGGAUUACAGGCAUGAGCCAAUACGCCCGGCCUAUUUUUGAGAUUUUCUGCUGCUACUCCAGCUUAGCCUGACAGAGCUUUCACUUUUUGUUCCUACCCCUUCGUGUGCAUCUGAACAAUCCACAAGCCUCACGAACUCCUGUGGCUUCCCUCCCUUCGAGCUGUAUCCACCAUGACCUCUUGACCAGGGCUGAGGGAGAAGGAGGAGGGUCGUGCCACUAUCCUAGCACCCUCUGUCAAGAGCCACAGUCAUCAGAACCAUGGAGUGACUGACUGGAGAGAAGCAGCAAGAGACGGCCAGACAAAACAUCUUAAUGGGAUACUUAGUCUCUUUGUUUCAUUCAAGAGGGAUCUACCAAAAGGGAUCACCUCCUACAAAUGCUAAAUGGGUUUAAGGUUUAUACAGCAGCUCAUGUGGGUUCAGGGAUGCACAGGCAUUUCCCAACGUGUCAUCAUCCCUGGUUCUGAUAAAAUCCAGAGUGGGGCCUGUAAAUCAGAGGGCUUCACCCCUGAACCCACAGCAGCACCACCAAGACACAGUGUCCCCACUGUGCACAAGAUUACAGCUUCUCUCUUGCUGCCCUUUCAAUAUACCAGUCCUUACUCAAGCACACAAAAACUGUGCUUUUGCCCCUGGCAUUUGAGAAGUUUGUGAAUAGACACCAGCACUUGGAUAUUGAUUUUUCACACGAUGGUGACUUUUAAAUUCCUCUAUUGCUCCUGACUGAGUUUAGCAACCUCUUGACUAUUCUGGAAAACCAAAGAACUUCGGAAACAAUCAAACAAAUAUUAAAUUCAAUCACCCAGCAACACUGGGGAGGCAAAUGAAAUUUUACUCCUAAGAAUCUAAAGCCCCCAUAGUAAAUAUUUCUUUGCUGGCUGGCAAAUGAAUGUUUCUCAGCCCUUCUCAUGUCUGGAGACACCAAGUAAUGGGACAGCUCUUAAGCUGUCCCCAUGGUUUGUGACCAAGACUGGGGGCUACUUUGGCCUUCGUGGAAGUCCAGCACACUUCAACUGAGCUGCCAGUGGUGCCGAAUCCUGGAAAAUGCUGAGAGCCCUAAAAGUGGAUCAAGGAAAGGCUGUCAGUGCAUCAUCUCCCCCAGUCCUUGGCAAAGCCAGGGAGCAGGGUCCUGAUCCCCCAGAUUCCAGCUCUUCCUAAUGUUUCUCAGGAAAGAAGACUGCCCUGCUGCUGAUGGCCCAGGAGCCUGCCCAGAAAGCUCUGGGUAAAAAGCAAGAUGAAAAGAGUCCUCCAGUCUCCCCUCACCAAUGCCCUGCAGCUCACCACACCUUUCCUGUCCUGUAUACUUGUCUAGGAAUGACAUCCCCAGAAGAGAUCAGGCAUGGUACCACAGUGUGUUGAUGGGGAAAGGCAGAAAGGGAUCACUUUGGAAUAUGAAAUCAAUCAAGAGAGGGUAGUUCCUAGGGAACAGCCUAAUGACCCCAAGACUGAAACGAAGACCUAGGUGGUGGGAAAGCAAUGAAGAGAAAAGCUUCUAGAGACAUAAUCCAUGAAGACCUUGGUGAAGUCCCACCUAUUAAUACAAAAGGUGCCAAGUCCCAGAAUUGUCAGAGUGCAGCAGGGGCACAAUGAAAGCCUUGUGGGAAUGAAUUGGCUGGUGGCCUAGGAUGUGCCAUCAGAAACUAUUCCUGUUUUCCAUGCUGUAUGCCAAUAGCACUGAGCAGAGUCCCUUUAAGGCAAAACAAUGGUUAGGCCAUAUUACUCAUUUAACUGAAGGGCUAAGUAUGUAGAUGGGGUUUUUAGACAUUAUGAAAAGUUGACUGUGGUGGAAUUUGAACUGCAUUUAGCCUUUCAUUCGGCUUCUAUGAACUUUCCUAGUUGUACGGCACCCUGAAGCUGUGUUAUCAAGAUUCACCAUCAUUUGAUCUUGGUUGCUUGUGGUCUUAGUGGCUUGGGUUUCCUGUCAAAGGCAUUCCUGGUAAAUUAUUCCAAGGGAAAGAAGAAUAUCCAGUUCACUGAUG
This 3505-nucleotide long non-coding RNA is filed under the name Homo sapiens (human). RNAcentral describes it as "HSALNT0190929". The record is from RNAcentral. Lineage: Eukaryota; Metazoa; Chordata; Mammalia; Primates; Hominidae.